GGAUUGAACGCUGGCGGCAUGCCUAACACAUGCAAGUCGAACGGGAGUAGCAAUACUCUAGUGGCGGACGGGUGAGGAAUACGUAGGAAUUUGCCCUUAAGUGGGGGAUAACCCGGGGAAACCCGGAUUAAUACCGCAUGACCUCGAAAGAGCAAAGUGGGGGAUCGCAAGACCUCACGCUUUUGGAGAAGCCUACGUCGGAUUAGCUAGUUGGUGAGGUAAUGGCUCACCAAGGCGACGAUCCGUAACUGGUCUGAGAGGAUGAUCAGUCACACCGGAACUGAGACACGGUCCGGACUCCUACGGGAGGCAGCAGUGGGAAUAUUGGACAAUGGGCNCAAG
RNAcentral lists this ribosomal RNA (342 nucleotides) under uncultured soil bacterium. Its description in RNAcentral is "bacterial SSU rRNA". It matches the Rfam family "Bacterial small subunit ribosomal RNA", at positions 27 to 381 of the family's 1533-position model. The record is from RNAcentral.